Paramuricea clavata is the source of this 768-nucleotide non-coding RNA. NCBI's taxonomy places the organism in Eukaryota, Metazoa, Cnidaria, Anthozoa, Malacalcyonacea, Plexauridae. The record is from the annotation of a GenBank genome assembly.
UCUUUCUAGCUGUGGUGAUUUAUAAUUUGCAUCUCCUUGCCUAGUUUUAAAAUUACUCUAUAAUGGGAAUUGUCUGUUAUUGUGUAAACACACGCAGGAAGUGGCCUUCUGUUCUUAAUAUUCCCCAAAAUCUGAAAUACCCAACGCGAACAUCGUUGGUAAGCUACUAGUCUAUAAAUUUUGUGUAUCUUGUCCAAAUCUUUGUCAUCCAGAGGCCAGUUUAAUAUCUUCAAGAUAGCGACAAACAUCUAUUUUAAUAAUAGCCCUUCCGACAGCAUGUUCGCUUUGAAUUCUGCAUGUGUUGACAGUGUAGUAAAGGCAGUCAAGCACUUCUCCCCUUGUGUUUCAGCCUCCUUCAAUCAUACAUCUUAUUCAUCAUAUUCUAACGCUUUAUCGUGGCAACAAAACAAUUCAAUAUCCUUUGGCUUCAAUGUGCAAUGCGCCAAGCAUUUUCGACCUCAAACACAUGGUGAUUUCCUCGUCAGACUAUUCACUCUGUUCUUCGGAGUCGCUCUCGUCACCGCUAUCGCUUGUUUCUAAGCCCAGUUUAGGUUCAAAUUGAUAAGGUAAUACCUUAUCUACUUGAUAUCGUGGAUAUUUUCCAUCCGAGUAAUCAAAAAGCGCCAAAUUUCUCACUAGAAGUACGAAGUCGCAAUAUGCGCCUAAUAAAAUAUAUUUGUUGUUUUGAUUCUACCCUGCUCUUGACGUCACACAGGUCAUGUGACACAAAAGAUAAUUUUUUUGAAAAUCGAUCCAAGAUGGCGGACG